AACGAACGCUGGCGGCAUGCCUAACACAUGCAAGUCGAACGAGAUCCUUCGGGGUCUAGUGGCGCACGGGUGGGUAACGCGUGGGAAUCUGCCCUUAGGUUCGGAAUAACAGUUAGAAAUGACUGCUAAUACCGGAUGAUGACGUUAAGUCCAAAGAUUUAUCGCCUGAGGAUGAGCCCGCGUAGGAUUAGCUAGUUGGUGUGGUAAAGGCGCACCAAGGCGACGAUCCUUAGCUGGUCUGAGAGGAUGAUCAGCCACACUGGGACUGAGACACGGCCCAGACUCCUACGGGAGGCAGCAGUGGGGAAUAUUGGACAAUGGGCGCAAGCCUGAUCCAGCAAUGCCGCGUGAGUGAUGAAGGCCUUAGGGUUGUAAAGCUCUUUUACCCGGGAUGAUAAUGACAGUACCGGGAGAAUAAGCCCCGGCUAACUCCGUG
RNAcentral lists this ribosomal RNA (436 nucleotides) under uncultured bacterium. RNAcentral's name for it is "partial 16S ribosomal RNA". It matches the Rfam family "Bacterial small subunit ribosomal RNA", at positions 29 to 507 of the family's 1533-position model. The record is from RNAcentral.